Molecule: ribosomal RNA, 503 nt
Filed under: uncultured Sphingobacteriales bacterium
Lineage: Bacteria; Pseudomonadati; Bacteroidota; Sphingobacteriia; Sphingobacteriales
Description: bacterial SSU rRNA
Rfam family: Bacterial small subunit ribosomal RNA
Source: RNAcentral
UUGCCAGCCCGCUACAGAAACUUAAAGGAAGUUCGACGGGGCCCGCACAAGCGGAGGAGCAUGUGGUUUAAUUCGAUGAUACGCGAGGAACCUUACCUGGGCUCGAACGUAAGAUGACUGUAGGUGAAAGCUUACAUCUCUUCGGAGCAUUUUACGAGGUGCUGCAUGGUUGUCGUCAGCUCGUGCCGUGAGGUGUCGGGUUAAGUCCCAUAACGAGCGCAACCCCUACCUUUAGUUGCCAUCAGGUUAAGCUGGGGACUCUAAAGGAACUGCCUACGCAAGUAGUGAGGAAGGCGGGGAUGACGUCAAAUCAGCACGGCCCUUACGUCCAGGGCUACACACGUGCUACAAUGGCCGAUACAGAGGGCAGCUACCUGGUGACAGGAUGCAAAUCUCCAAAGUCGGUCUCAGUUCGGAUCGGAGUCUGCAACCCGACUCCGUGAAGUUGGAUUCGCUAGUAAUCGCGCAUCAGCCAUGGCGCGGUGAAUACGUUCCCGGGCCUU